Molecule: transfer RNA, 74 nt
Filed under: Desmophyllum pertusum
Lineage: Eukaryota; Metazoa; Cnidaria; Anthozoa; Scleractinia; Caryophylliidae
Description: tRNA-Thr
Source: RNAcentral
UCUCCUGUAGCUCAGUGGUAGAACGUCCGACCGCGUGUGCAGAAGGUCAUAGCUUCGACUCCUGUUCGGAGGAC